GGAAGCAAAUUUGAGGCUUGUGCCCUUGCUUCCUCACGUGGCUGCCUUGCUUUAAAUUUACCUCAGCUUCAUCUACUCUAGACAAUGUCAACCUAUCUCUUUGGGAAGUCACAAGGAUCCUGCAAGGUGAAUUCCAGGUGGAAGCCCUGCCACAGCAUGUCUUGCCAAGCGGUAUGCAGGUCUGCACACAGGAUCCAAACUGGCAAACCCUGGGCCUCCAAAGUGGAAUGUGCAAACUUAACUGCUGCACCACUGGGCUAGCCCCAGGAUUUCAUUUCUUAAAGCAUACUAUUAAAACUUUUUUCUGGAAAUGUUAUAAUAGUAUUAUGCAAGUUCAGUACAUGACCUACAAGAGGAAAUAAGGAGAGGGAGUAAAAUAAUUUCAAGUCCUUCUGGCUUCUAAUCAAAGAAUCAGUUUAACAGCUUUUAGCUCCUAUUUCAAUAUUUAUGAAAACUCUGAGCUUUAUUUCCUGUUUUUUUUUAAAAUUCUAAUGUCAAGUGGGUUAUUUCCAGGCUAAAGGCAUUUGGUUCCUUCCUUAGUAUUUGCUCAUUCAACUAUUCAGUCAGAGGCAUAAUUCAUUUGGAGAUGUAGUGGCAGACAAAUGUCUCCAUUCUGCAAAUUAUAACUCAGGACACAAUCAUAUGCAUAGUGCCUUU
This 657-nucleotide long non-coding RNA is filed under the name Equus asinus (donkey). Its description in RNAcentral is "lncRNA (ENSEASG00005032852.1)". Lineage: Eukaryota; Metazoa; Chordata; Mammalia; Perissodactyla; Equidae. The record is from RNAcentral.